This 387-nucleotide ribosomal RNA is filed under the name uncultured Chloroflexota bacterium. RNAcentral describes it as "bacterial SSU rRNA". It matches the Rfam family "Bacterial small subunit ribosomal RNA", at positions 975 to 1375 of the family's 1533-position model. The record is from RNAcentral. Lineage: Bacteria; Bacillati; Chloroflexota.
CAGGGUUUGACAUGCCUGUGCACCACCCAGAGAUGGGUGUACCCGCAAGGGACGCAGGCACAGGCGCUGCAUGGCUGUCGUCAGCUCGUGCCGCGAGGUGUUGGGUUAAGUCCCGCAACGAGCGCAACCCCUGUCGUCGGUUGGAGAUGUCCGACGAGACUGCCCCGAUCAACGAGGAGGAAGGUGGGGAUGACGUCAAGUCAGCACGGCCCUGACGUCCUGGGCGACACACACGCUACAAUGGCCGCCACAAUGGGUUGCCAACCCGCGAGGGGGAGCCAAUCCCAGCAAAGGCGGUCUCAGUUCAGAUUGCAGGCUGCAACUCGCCUGCAUGAAGUCGGAGUUGCUAGUAACCGUGGGUCAGCGCACCACGGUGAAUACGUUCCC